CCCUCAAUUUCCCUCAUUGGUUUUACUGUUCCCCAUGGCACUUACAGAGGAAAAAUUAAUACUAUGUAUUUGUUCUCUUCCAUAGGGCAAGAUGAUUUUGGUCUUUUUUACUCACCAAUACAUCUCCAGUGCUUAGCAGAUCUACUGAAUCCACUAUUUAGGAAAAGCCGCAUUUCAGCAUUCUGAACUUCAAAGAGGAACCAGGACUACGGGAGGAGCAUGAAUGUGGACAAGGAGUGUGACCACUGAAGCACAGCACCACAGGGAGGGGUUCAAGCCUCUGGAUGACUACUGGCAAGCCUGGACAAUAUCCAAUCUCCCACAAGAAGGUGGUGGAGCAGAGUGUUCCCUGACUCCUCCAAGUAAAGGAGACUCCCUUUCACGGUCUACUAAGUAACAGGUGCCUUCCCAGGCACUGGCGUUACCACUUGACCAAGGAGCCCUCAAGCGGCCCUUAUGCGGGCGUGACAGAGGGCUGGCUCACCUCUUGCCUUCUAGGUCACUUCUCACAAUGUCCCUUCAGCACCUGACCCUGUAUCUGCCGGUUAUUCCUUGGUUAUAUUAGUAGUACAACAAAGAGUAAUAUUAAAAGCUAAUGACUAGUAAUGUUUAUACUAAUGAUUGAUAAUGCCCGUGAUCAUCUCUGUAUCUAAUUUGUAUUAUGACUAUUCUUAUUCUAACUAUUUUAUGUAUUAUACUGAAACAGUUUGUGCCUUCAGUCUCUUGCCUCGGCACCUGGGUAAUCCUUCGCCCACAUCCUAUAAGUACAGCUGUGUUUUAUUCUUUGUUUUUUAGACAGGGUCUCA
Molecule: long non-coding RNA, 806 nt
Filed under: Homo sapiens (human)
Lineage: Eukaryota; Metazoa; Chordata; Mammalia; Primates; Hominidae
Description: HSALNT0406389
Source: RNAcentral